CUUUACCAUUAACUUCUAUAGUUUGUGUGCAUGUGUGUGUGUGUAAUUCAUCAAUCAAAUUCAUAUAUAUAGGCUAAAAAAAUGCAAGUUUAUCUUUCUUUUGUAGGGUAAUAUACAUAUUUUUCUUAACCUAAUUGCAGCAGUGAGUAGGCCAGAUUGCUAUAACGAUGUGUGCACUACUGAGUGCACAAAAAAAGUGGGUUAUACUGUUAAUGGGUGUUGCUCUAAUGACGAAUGCUUCUGCAUUAGUUCCAAUACUGAUUGUUCGAAGGUUUUUCCCCUAGCAGGUGAAACCCUAGUUACUUUUACUUCUUUUUUUUGGCUAAAUUCACAUAUAUAUGCAAGUUUAUCUUUCUUUUGUAGGCUAAUAUACGUAUUUUUCUUAACCUAAUUGCAACAGUGACUAGGCCAGAUUGCUAUAACGACGCGUGCACUGCUGAGUGCACCAAAAAAAAAGGGUUAUACUGUUAAUGGGUGUUGCUCUAAUGACAAAUGCUUCUGCGUUAGCGCCAAUACUGAUUGUUCGGAGGUUUUUCCCCUAGCAGGUGAAACCCUAGUUACUUUUACUUCUCUAUUUUUUUUUUUUUUUUUUUUUUUUUUUUGUUGUCUCAAUUCAUAUAUAUAUAAGCUAAAAAAUGCAAGUUUAUCUUUCUUUUGUAGGCUAAUAUACAUAUUUUACUUAACCUAAUUGCAGCAGUGAGUAGGCCAGAUUGCCAUAACGAUGCGUGCACUACUAACUGCACAAAAAGAAUGGGUUAUACUGUUAAUGGGUGUUGCUCUAAUGACAAAUGCUUCUGUAUUAAUGCCAAUACUGAUUGUUCGGAGGUUUUUCCCCCCAGCAGGUGAAACCCUAGUUACUUUUACUUCUUUUUUUGGCUCAAGACCCAACUUUUUUGUUUAAGCCUCCAUUAGGCAAAUUUAUAAAUGUUUUAUAAAGAGGAAGAGUAGUGAGCCUCAUGUGUGUGAGUAAUAAUGAAUAGUAAUUAUAAAUUUGUUGUUGAGAUCAAAGUUUAAUUUUAACUCAACUUUUAAACCAUUUAUAAUCACAAGGAUUUUGUUUUUCACUAUAUUAUUAAUAGAACACAAGGGAAAAUCGUUAACAGGGGCCACAGAUAUUACAAAAAUGAAAGGUUGGUCCCUGAGGAUGUCAAAUAUUUAGUUGGGACUUCGAUUGGUACUUUUUUCUCGAAGUUUAACUCUCUAACUUGCAGAAAACAAAUCAUUGUUUGAUUUAGCUACAAAUGAGUUUUUUAAUAAAAGUUGACGAAACGUUAAAAAAUUGUGAGCCCUAUAAAAUACAUAGUUAAAAUUAAUUAAUGACUUUCACUUAAAUUUUUAUAAAAUUUGUAAUUCACGUGGCAUUCUAUCGCUAGAUAGUUUAAAAUACAAUUAGUUUUUAAUCCAAUUAUUCACUGUCACGUAUAAUUAUGUCAAGCUUUUUGUCAAAUCAUUAUGGCAAAGUAGCUUUAUCCACAUAUAAAUGGGUAACUACACGUAUAUUUUCUUUCACUCUUAGUCCCCGUUUGGCUCUCAUUAUUUUUAGUUAUAAUUUUUUCUCUAUUAUUUUCAAUCACACAAUUUUCUAUAUAAUAAUUUUACACGUAAAUUGAAAAUUUUUUCCUUCUUUUUCAACAAUACAUUCUCUAAACAAAUACUAUUUCAAAAAUGAAAAAAUUGAAAUAAUGGGGGACAAAAUGGGACUUUAACGCGGUCACUCAGGGGCAGAUCUUUGGGGGGGGGGGGUUUAUAGGGUCAAUUAACCCUCUAGAUUUUGUGGGGGGAUUGUUUGGCAUUUUUAUUUUUUUUUUAGCUUUUCUUUUAUUAGAAGAUAUCUAUAAUUUUUAUUUCUGACCCGUAACUCAAGCCGUCUACCAUCAGGACAAAGAAAAAUCUACGGAUUCAAAUGUGAGAGUUUUGAUGAAAAAUGUGAAAUCUCUUAAACCAUGUGGUUUAGCAUAGAAAACUGAGUUCUUUUUUUCUGUUAUUUGCAGGAGGGAAAAGUAAACCAGAGUUGUUGAUCCGCCAGGUCUAGGGCAAUACAUCUGAGAUUACUGCCCAGCGGCUGUAUGCAUAAAUAAACUGUAAAGGGCAAAAAAAAAAAAGAAAAAAAAAAUUAGAGGGCUGUAGCUCUCCUCAUAAAUAAAUCAAGAGCCAGUGUUUGUAUGCAUCUC
This 2171-nucleotide long non-coding RNA is filed under the name Olea europaea subsp. europaea. The record is from RNAcentral. Lineage: Eukaryota; Viridiplantae; Streptophyta; Magnoliopsida; Lamiales; Oleaceae.